Molecule: long non-coding RNA, 267 nt
Filed under: Phoenix dactylifera (date palm)
Lineage: Eukaryota; Viridiplantae; Streptophyta; Magnoliopsida; Arecales; Arecaceae
Description: long non-coding RNA (PDAC_LNC009555)
Source: RNAcentral
UGAAAUAAAUUUAAUAUAUGUUAAGAAAUAAAUAAUUCCUUCCUUAAGCUAAGUGCAAGUAAUCCUAGAGACUCAAUAACAUUGGGUUUGAGCCCAAUGCCCAGCUGCCAUGCAUGCACCCAAGCACUAUCCACCGUCCGUGGCUCCCCAAGUGAUCCAACGGUUCAAAAAUUUCCAUCUCCGUAUCAUGUUUCCAAACUAAGCAAAAUAGGGGAGACCUUUGUUUUAAAUCCAUAUAUGCCCAUUUUCACAUUAAAAUAAGAGCAA